UUUCCUUUUCAUUUUCCCCCCUUCUCUUUCACUCUCUUCUCUCUCCCUCUCCUCUCUCUACCAUCCCACCACCCAACUGCCACCAGACGCCGCCGUUAUUUUCGACCAGCAAUCGUCGCCACCAGACGCCGCCAGCUCAGCUGACACACACAAUGGAGUAAAAAAUGGAGUUUCAAAGCAAGGCUCAUUGCUUCACGGAGACCACCACUUCACUGUCAGCCUGUUACCUUUACUUCCCCGUUAUCUAUCCAUUGCUGCUUGUUGUGUUGGAAUUUUAAGGUUGCAGUACCCCCUCUUCUCGAAGGUUUGGCCUCGUUCCAAUGGUGGCAUAUGAGGACAUUUUUCUUAAGAACGAAUUUCAACAACACUCUGAGGAGUUUCGAGCCACUCAGCCAAGUAGCACGCCGAUGACCGACGAGGUAAUACAACAAUAGUGGAUUGAGAAGGUUGCUCCCCCAACAAGGCAUGGGACAGUUUAUGGGAUGCCUAAUGGAGCCUUUCGUCGAUACCCGUCGGCCCUUGAAGUCGUAGGUGCUGAUGAUGAUGGGGCAGUUGAUCCUAAGGAGUAUGAAGCUAUGAAGCAUCAAGUUGACCUACUAACAAGAACACUUAAUUCCUCGGAGGCCAGGAUGUUGGGUAUGCAAGCCCAAAUUAACACCAAACAUUGACUUUUUGGAUUAGUGUGCUUUUGGAUUCUAAUUCGGCUAUGUUUAAAUGGAUAUGUAUAUUAUGUUUAAGAGUUUGAAUGUAGUUUUAAUGCGAAUUAAAAGUACUUUUAAUUUUAAGAUGUUUAAGUGUUUGAAUGGACAAUAUUUAAGUGUUCAAGU
Long non-coding RNA from Lycium barbarum (goji berry), 827 nucleotides. RefSeq lists it as uncharacterized. The record is from RefSeq and is a predicted model, not a curated record. The transcript is spliced from 3 exons. NCBI's taxonomy places the organism in Eukaryota, Viridiplantae, Streptophyta, Magnoliopsida, Solanales, Solanaceae.